RNAcentral lists this ribosomal RNA (424 nucleotides) under Diaporthales sp. nc_besc_196a. RNAcentral's name for it is "eukaryotic LSU rRNA". The stretch from base 47 to 200 matches the Rfam family "5.8S ribosomal RNA". The record is from RNAcentral. Lineage: Eukaryota; Fungi; Ascomycota; Sordariomycetes; Diaporthales.
UUGUUUUUACACUGAAACUCUGAGGAAAAAAAACAAAAUGAAUCAAAACUUUCAACAACGGAUCUCUUGGUUCUGGCAUCGAUGAAGAACGCAGCGAAAUGCGAUAAGUAAUGUGAAUUGCAGAAUUCAGUGAAUCAUCGAAUCUUUGAACGCACAUUGCGCCCUCCGGUAUUCCGGAGGGCAUGCCUGUUCGAGCGUCAUUUCAACCCUCAAGCACUGCUUGGUGUUGGGGCACUGCCUUUUUCCGGAAGGCAGGCCCUGAAAUUCAGUGGCGAGCUCGCCAGGACCCCGAGCGCAGUAGUUAAACCCUCGCUUUGGAAGGCCCUGGCGGUGCCCUGCCGUUAAACCCCCAACUCUUGAAAAUUUGACCUCGGAUCAGGUAGGAAUACCCGCUGAACUUAAGCAUAUCAAUAAGCGGAGGAAU